CGCCUUCGGGUGAGCCGCGGACGGUUUAGUAACGCGUGGGAACGUGCCCUUCUCUACGGAAUAGCCUCUGGAAACGGAGAGUAAUACCGUAUACGCCCUUUGGGGGAAAGAUUUAUCGGAGAAGGAUCGGCCCGCGUUAGAUUAGGUAGUUGGUGGGGUAACGGCCUACCAAGCCUACGAUCUAUAGCUGGUUUUAGAGGAUGAUCAGCAACACUGGGACUGAGACACGGCCCAGACUCCUACGGGAGGCAGCAGUGGGGAAUCUUAGACAAUGGGGGCAACCCUGAUCUAGCCAUGCCGCGUGAGUGAUGAAGGCCUUAGGGUCGUAAAGCUCUUUCGCCUGUGAUGAUAAUGACAGUAGCAGGUAAAGAAACCCCGGCUAACUCCGUGCCAGCAGCCGCGGUAAUACGGAGGGGGUUAGCGUUGUUCGGAAUUACUGGGCGUAAAGCGCGCGUAGGCGGAUUAGAAAGUUGGGGGUGAAAUCCCGGGGCUCAACCCCGGAACUGCCUCCAAAACUGCUAGUCUAGAGUUCGAGAGAGGUGAGUGGAAUUCCGAGUGUAGAGGUGAAAUUCGUAGAUAUACGGAGGAACACCAGUGGCGAAGGCGGCUCACUGGCUCCAUACUGACGCUGAGGUGCGAAAGUGUGGGGCAGCAACAGGAUUCGAUACCUGGUAUAUCACACGGUAACGAAGAUGC
Molecule: ribosomal RNA, 696 nt
Filed under: uncultured Ruegeria sp.
Lineage: Bacteria; Pseudomonadati; Pseudomonadota; Alphaproteobacteria; Rhodobacterales; Roseobacteraceae
Description: bacterial SSU rRNA
Rfam family: Bacterial small subunit ribosomal RNA
Source: RNAcentral